This 2892-nucleotide ribosomal RNA is filed under the name Escherichia coli BCE032_MS-12. RNAcentral describes it as "bacterial LSU rRNA". It matches the Rfam family "Bacterial large subunit ribosomal RNA". Lineage: Bacteria; Pseudomonadati; Pseudomonadota; Gammaproteobacteria; Enterobacterales; Enterobacteriaceae. The record is from RNAcentral.
ACUAAGCGUACACGGUGGAUGCCCUGGCAGUCAGAGGCGAUGAAGGACGUGCUAAUCUGCGAUAAGCGUCGGUAAGGUGAUAUGAACCGUUAUAACCGGCGAUUUCCGAAUGGGGAAACCCAGUGUGUUUCGACACACUAUCAUUAACUGAAUCCAUAGGUUAAUGAGGCGAACCGGGGGAACUGAAACAUCUAAGUACCCCGAGGAAAAGAAAUCAACCGAGAUUCCCCCAGUAGCGGCGAGCGAACGGGGAGCAGCCCAGAGCCUGAAUCAGUGUGUGUGUUAGUGGAAGCGUCUGGAAAGGCGCGCGAUACAGGGUGACAGCCCCGUACACAAAAAUGCACAUGCUGUGAGCUCGAUGAGUAGGGCGGGACACGUGGUAUCCUGUCUGAAUAUGGGGGGACCAUCCUCCAAGGCUAAAUACUCCUGACUGACCGAUAGUGAACCAGUACCGUGAGGGAAAGGCGAAAAGAACCCCGGCGAGGGGAGUGAAAAAGAACCUGAAACCGUGUACGUACAAGCAGUGGGAGCCUCUUUUAUGGGGUGACUGCGUACCUUUUGUAUAAUGGGUCAGCGACUUAUAUUCUGUAGCAAGGUUAACCGAAUAGGGGAGCCGAAGGGAAACCGAGUCUUAACUGGGCGUUAAGUUGCAGGGUAUAGACCCGAAACCCGGUGAUCUAGCCAUGGGCAGGUUGAAGGUUGGGUAACACUAACUGGAGGACCGAACCGACUAAUGUUGAAAAAUUAGCGGAUGACUUGUGGCUGGGGGUGAAAGGCCAAUCAAACCGGGAGAUAGCUGGUUCUCCCCGAAAGCUAUUUAGGUAGCGCCUCGUGAAUUCAUCUCCGGGGGUAGAGCACUGUUUCGGCAAGGGGGUCAUCCCGACUUACCAACCCGAUGCAAACUGCGAAUACCGGAGAAUGUUAUCACGGGAGACACACGGCGGGUGCUAACGUCCGUCGUGAAGAGGGAAACAACCCAGACCGCCAGCUAAGGUCCCAAAGUCAUGGUUAAGUGGGAAACGAUGUGGGAAGGCCCAGACAGCCAGGAUGUUGGCUUAGAAGCAGCCAUCAUUUAAAGAAAGCGUAAUAGCUCACUGGUCGAGUCGGCCUGCGCGGAAGAUGUAACGGGGCUAAACCAUGCACCGAAGCUGCGGCAGCGACGCUUAUGCGUUGUUGGGUAGGGGAGCGUUCUGUAAGCCUGUGAAGGUGUGCUGUGAGGCAUGCUGGAGGUAUCAGAAGUGCGAAUGCUGACAUAAGUAACGAUAAAGCGGGUGAAAAGCCCGCUCGCCGGAAGACCAAGGGUUCCUGUCCAACGUUAAUCGGGGCAGGGUGAGUCGACCCCUAAGGCGAGGCCGAAAGGCGUAGUCGAUGGGAAACAGGUUAAUAUUCCUGUACUUGGUGUUACUGCGAAGGGGGGACGGAGAAGGCUAUGUUGGCCGGGCGACGGUUGUCCCGGUUUAAGCGUGUAGGCUGGUUUUCCAGGCAAAUCCGGAAAAUCAAGGCUGAGGCGUGAUGACGAGGCACUACGGUGCUGAAGCAACAAAUGCCCUGCUUCCAGGAAAAGCCUCUAAGCAUCAGGUAACAUCAAAUCGUACCCCAAACCGACACAGGUGGUCAGGUAGAGAAUACCAAGGCGCUUGAGAGAACUCGGGUGAAGGAACUAGGCAAAAUGGUGCCGUAACUUCGGGAGAAGGCACGCUGAUAUGUAGGUGAAGCGACUUGCUCGUGGAGCUGAAAUCAGUCGAAGAUACCAGCUGGCUGCAACUGUUUAUUAAAAACACAGCACUGUGCAAACACGAAAGUGGACGUAUACGGUGUGACGCCUGCCCGGUGCCGGAAGGUUAAUUGAUGGGGUCAGCGCAAGCGAAGCUCUUGAUCGAAGCCCCGGUAAACGGCGGCCGUAACUAUAACGGUCCUAAGGUAGCGAAAUUCCUUGUCGGGUAAGUUCCGACCUGCACGAAUGGCGUAAUGAUGGCCAGGCUGUCUCCACCCGAGACUCAGUGAAAUUGAACUCGCUGUGAAGAUGCAGUGUACCCGCGGCAAGACGGAAAGACCCCGUGAACCUUUACUAUAGCUUGACACUGAACAUUGAGCCUUGAUGUGUAGGAUAGGUGGGAGGCUUGAAGUGUGGACGCCAGUCUGCAUGGAGCCGACCUUGAAAUACCACCCUUUAAUGUUUGAUGUUCUAACGUUGACCCGUAAUCCGGGUUGCGGACAGUGUCUGGUGGGUAGUUUGACUGGGGCGGUCUCCUCCUAAAGAGUAACGGAGGAGCACGAAGGUUGGCUAAUCCUGGUCGGACAUCAGGAGGUUAGUGCAAUGGCAUAAGCCAGCUUGACUGCGAGCGUGACGGCGCGAGCAGGUGCGAAAGCAGGUCAUAGUGAUCCGGUGGUUCUGAAUGGAAGGGCCAUCGCUCAACGGAUAAAAGGUACUCCGGGGAUAACAGGCUGAUACCGCCCAAGAGUUCAUAUCGACGGCGGUGUUUGGCACCUCGAUGUCGGCUCAUCACAUCCUGGGGCUGAAGUAGGUCCCAAGGGUAUGGCUGUUCGCCAUUUAAAGUGGUACGCGAGCUGGGUUUAGAACGUCGUGAGACAGUUCGGUCCCUAUCUGCCGUGGGCGCUGGAGAACUGAGGGGGGCUGCUCCUAGUACGAGAGGACCGGAGUGGACGCAUCACUGGUGUUCGGGUUGUCAUGCCAAUGGCACUGCCCGGUAGCUAAAUGCGGAAGAGAUAAGUGCUGAAAGCAUCUAAGCACGAAACUUGCCCCGAGAUGAGUUCUCCCUGACUCCUUGAGAGUCCUGAAGGAACGUUGAAGACGACGACGUUGAUAGGCCGGGUGUGUAAGCGCAGCGAUGCGUUGAGCUAACCGGUACUAAUGAACCGUGAGGCUUAACC